Molecule: ribosomal RNA, 400 nt
Filed under: uncultured bacterium
Lineage: Bacteria
Description: bacterial SSU rRNA
Rfam family: Bacterial small subunit ribosomal RNA
Source: RNAcentral
UAAGGAAUAUUGGUCAAUGGACGCAAGUCUGAACCAGCCAUGCCGCGUGAAGGAUGAAGGUCCUCUGGAUUGUAAACUUCUUUUAUUUGGGACGAAAAAAGAUCAUUCUUGAUCACUUGACGGUACCAUUUGAAUAAGCACCGGCUAACUCCGUGCCAGCAGCCGCGGUAAUACGGAGGGUGCAAGCGUUAUCCGGAUUCACUGGGUUUAAAGGGUGCGUAGGCGGACAAUUAAGUCAGUGGUGAAAUCUCGGAGCUUAACUCCGAAACUGCCAUUGAUACUAUUUGUCUUGAAUUUUCUGGAAGUCAGCGGAAUAUGUCAUGUAGCGGUGAAAUGCUUAGAUAUGACAUAGAACACCGAUAGCGAAGGCAGCUGACUACGGAACGAUUGACGCUGAGGC